GAUGAACGCUGGCGGCGUGCCUAAUACAUGCAAGUCGAGCGAACGGACGAGAAGCUUGCUUCUCUGAUGUUAGUGGCGGACGGGUGAGUAACACGUGGAUAACCUACCUAUAAGACUGGGAUAACUUCGGGAAACCGUAGCUAAUACCGGAUAAUAUUUUGAACCGCAUGGUUCAAAAGUGAAAGACGGUCUUGCUGUCACUUAUAGAUGGAUCCGCGCUGCAUUAGCUAGUUGGUAAGGUAACGGCUUACCAAGGCAACGAUGCAUAGCCGACCUGAGAGGGUGAUCGGCCACACUGGAACUGAGACACGGUCCAGACUCCUACGGGAGGCAGCAGUAGGGAAUCUUCCGCAAUGGGCGAAAGCCUGACGGAGCAACGACGCGUGAGUGAUGAAGGUCUUCGGAUCGUAAAACUCUGUUAUUAGGGAAGAACAUAUGUGUAAGUAACUGUGCACAUCUUGACGGUACCUAAUCAGAAAGCCACGGCUAACUACGUG
Molecule: ribosomal RNA, 497 nt
Filed under: uncultured bacterium
Lineage: Bacteria
Description: partial 16S ribosomal RNA
Rfam family: Bacterial small subunit ribosomal RNA
Source: RNAcentral